GAUCAUGGCUCAGGAUGAAUGCUGGCGGCAUGCCUAAUACAUGCAAGUCGAGCGGUAACAGGACUAGCUUGCUAGUGCUGACGAGCGGCGGACGGCUGAGUAACGCAUGGGAACGCACCCCAAACUGAGGGAUAACUAGUCGAAAGAUUAGCUAAUACCGCAUGUGAUCUUCGGAUUAAAGCCUUCGGGCGGUUUGGGAGCGGCCUGUGUACGAUUAGAUAGUUGGUGAGGUAAUGGCUCACCAAGUCGACGAUCGUUAGAUGGUUUGAGAGGAUGAUCAUCCAGACUGGAACUGAGACACGGUCCAGACUCCUACGGGAGGCAGCAGUAGGGAAUCUUUCACAAUGGGCGAAAGCCUGAUGGAGCAAUGCCGCGUGCAGGACGAAGGCCUUCGGGUUGUAAACUGCUUUUAUAAGCGAGGAAUAUGACGGUAACUUAUGAAUAAGGAUCGGCUAACUACGUGCCAGCAGCGGC
This 474-nucleotide ribosomal RNA is filed under the name uncultured bacterium. RNAcentral's name for it is "bacterial SSU rRNA". It matches the Rfam family "Bacterial small subunit ribosomal RNA", at positions 15 to 518 of the family's 1533-position model. The record is from RNAcentral.